This is a non-coding RNA of Pelobates cultripes (western spadefoot toad), 241 nucleotides long. NCBI's taxonomy places the organism in Eukaryota, Metazoa, Chordata, Amphibia, Anura, Pelobatidae. The record is from the annotation of a GenBank genome assembly.
GAUUGAUUCCCUUUCGUAUUGCCCUAUGUGUAAGUUGGUAAAUGUAAUUUCCUUUAUUUUACUUUCUGAUCCAGUUACUCCGUUACUGACUUUAUUGAUAACACUAUAGGUAUAUUCUGGUGCUGUUGAAUUAUUCUGCAUUCCAAUGUGUCCCUCAGUCCCUGUGAACUCCUCCUCCAGGUCCCCUCUAGUUGUAAAGGGUUUAAAAAAAAAAAUCUUUAUUCACUUACCUGAUUCCAAC